GACGAACGCUGGCGGCGUGCUUAACACAUGCCAGUCGAACGGAAAGGCCCUGCUUUUGUGGGGUGCUCGAGUGGCGAACGGGUGAGUAACACGUGAGUAACCUGCCCUUGACUUUGGGAUAACUUCAGGAAACUGGGGCUAAUACCGGAUAGGAGCUCCUGCUGCAUGGUGGGGGUUGGAAAGUUUCGGCGGUUGGGGAUGGACUCGCGGCUUAUCAGCUUGGUGGUGGGGUAGUGGCUUACCAAGGCUUUGACGGGUAGCCGGCCUGCGAGGGUGACCGGCCACAUUGGGACUGAGAUACGGCCCAGACUCCUACGGGAGGCAGCAGUGGGGAAUAUUGCACAAUGGGCGGAAGCCUGAUGCAGCAACGCCGCGUGCGGGAUGACGGCCUUCGGGUUGUAAACCGCUUUCGCCUGUGACGAAGCGUGAGUGACGGUAAUGGGUAAAGAAGCACCGGCUAACUACGUG
This 468-nucleotide ribosomal RNA is filed under the name uncultured bacterium. Its description in RNAcentral is "partial 16S ribosomal RNA". It matches the Rfam family "Bacterial small subunit ribosomal RNA", at positions 28 to 507 of the family's 1533-position model. The record is from RNAcentral.